AAUAGGAUGCCUGACCAAAAGGACUAUCUUGAUAGGAUAAAUCAUGUAAAAAAAUAUUACUCCUAUUA
This 68-nucleotide transfer RNA is filed under the name Scolytinae sp. BMNH 1274282. Its description in RNAcentral is "tRNA-Ile". The record is from RNAcentral. Lineage: Eukaryota; Metazoa; Arthropoda; Insecta; Coleoptera; Curculionidae.